This 964-nucleotide ribosomal RNA is filed under the name Fusarium rectiphorum. RNAcentral's name for it is "eukaryotic LSU rRNA". The stretch from base 434 to 964 matches the Rfam family "Eukaryotic large subunit ribosomal RNA", at positions 1 to 559 of the family's 3401-position model. The record is from RNAcentral. Lineage: Eukaryota; Fungi; Ascomycota; Sordariomycetes; Hypocreales; Nectriaceae.
CCGAGUUUACAACUCACCAACCCCUGUGAACCUACCUAUACUGUUGCUUCGGCGGGAACAGAUGGCCCCGUGAAACGGGCCACCCCCGCCAGAGGACCCCCUAACUAUGUUUUUUAAUAAUGUUUCUCUGAGUAAACCAAGCAAAUCAAUUAAAACUUUCAACAAUGGAUCUCUUGGCUCUGGCAUCGAUGAAGAACGCAGCGAAAUGCGAUACGUAAUGUGAAUUGCAGAAUUCAGUGAAUCAUCGAAUCUUUGAACGCACAUUGCGCCCGCCAGUAUUCUGGCGGGCAUGCCUGUCCGAGCGUCAUUACAACCCUCAGGCCCCCGGGCCUGGCGUUGGGGAUCGGCGGAGAGCCCCCUGCGGGCAACACGCCGUCCCCCAAAUUCAGUGGCGGUCUCGCUGCAGCCUCCAUUGCGUAGUAGCUAACACCUCGCAACUGGAACGCCGCGUGGCCACGCCGUAAAACCCCCAACUUCUGAAUCAACAGGGAUUGCCCUAGUAACGGCGAGUGAAGCGGCAACAGCUCAAAUUUGAAAUCUGGCUCUCGGGCCCGAGUUGUAAUUUGUAGAGGAUGCUUUUGGCGCGGUGCCUUCCGAGUUCCCUGGAACGGGACGCCAUAGAGGGUGAGAGCCCCGUCUGGUUGGAUGCCAAACCUCUGUAAAGCUCCUUCGACGAGUCGAGUAGUUUGGGAAUGCUGCUCUAAAUGGGAGGUAUAUGUCUUCUAAAGCUAAAUACCGGCCAGAGACCGAUAGCGCACAAGUAGAGUGAUCGAAAGAUGAAAAGAACUUUGAAAAGAGAGUUAAAAAGUACGUGAAAUUGUUGAAAGGGAAGCGCUUGUGACCAGACUUGGGCUUGGUUGAUCAUCCAGGGUUCUCCCUGGUGCACUCUUCCGGCCUAGGCCAGCAUCAGUUCGCCUCGGGGGAUAAAGGCGCCGGGAAUGUGGCUCCCUCCGGGGAGUGUUAU